Molecule: transfer RNA, 87 nt
Filed under: Marinitoga hydrogenitolerans DSM 16785
Lineage: Bacteria; Thermotogati; Thermotogota; Thermotogae; Petrotogales; Petrotogaceae
Description: tRNA_Leu_CAG
Rfam family: tRNA
About the family: Transfer RNA (tRNA) molecules are approximately 80 nucleotides in length.
Source: RNAcentral
GCCGGGGUGGCGGAAUUGGCAGACGCGUAUGAUUCAGAAUCAUAUGGGCUUUAGCCUAUGCGGGUUCAAGUCCCGUCUCCGGCACCA